RNAcentral lists this ribosomal RNA (198 nucleotides) under uncultured bacterium. RNAcentral describes it as "partial 16S ribosomal RNA". It matches the Rfam family "Bacterial small subunit ribosomal RNA", at positions 335 to 524 of the family's 1533-position model. The record is from RNAcentral.
ACUCCUACGGGAGGCAGCAGUGGGGAAUAUUGGGCAAUGGGCGCAAGCCUGACCCAGCCAUGCCGCGUGAGUGAUGAAGGCCUUCGGGUCGUAAAGCUCUGUGGGGAGGGAAGAAACCGCUUGUGGAUAACACCCACGAGUCUUGACGGUACCUCCUUAGCAAGCACCGGCUAACUCCGUGCCAGCAGCCGCGGUAAU